This is a long non-coding RNA of Mesocricetus auratus (golden hamster), 1257 nucleotides long. RefSeq lists it as uncharacterized. The record is from RefSeq and is a predicted model, not a curated record. The transcript is spliced from 2 exons. NCBI's taxonomy places the organism in Eukaryota, Metazoa, Chordata, Mammalia, Rodentia, Cricetidae.
GGGGCCCCAGGAGUUUGCUGGCCAGCGAGCCUCGCCAGAAAGGUGAACCUCGCAGUUAGUGUUAAGACUGUCUCAAGGCAGACAGAGACAGACCAAGAUUGGGAGAAGCAUCAUCUGCUGUUCUUCAAGGACGACCUUGAACUUCUACUCUUCCUGAUUCUGUCUCCCAAAUGCUGAGCUUACAGUGCGUCACACUCCCAAUCCUGACAGACAGAAAAAGUAAGCAAUAGAUCAACAGUGCCACUCUCCUGCCUCCAUGCUGGUACAGCGGGGACCAAGUUUCCGGCACGUGAAAAUUCGGGGGCAGACUAUAGCCAAACGGUGGCCAUGUCCACAGUUUUAAUACUCCCUGAGGUUCCGGGUACUGGAGGUCUCGGAAGAUAUCCUCCUCCAUUUUACUUACUUCAGUUUUCACUGAUGUGAGGACAUCAACAAGAAAUCUGGCGUCUUACUCGAUGUUUACCACAAAGCCAAGUAUGCACUGAGAGUGGGAGAUGAUGCCGGAAGAUACCAGACUCUCGCUCGCUGCUGGCAGGGACGAAGACGAAGACGGGAGCAGCUGCUUUGGAAAGCGAUUUGGCGGUUCCUCAUGAGGUUAAAGAAAAACUCAGCACAGGACCCAGCAGUUCCAGUUCUAGGUAUACAGUCAAAAGAACUGAAAACAAAUGUCCUCACCAGAGCUGGUCAUGUUCCAAGUGCUCACAGCAGCAUUACUAAUGACAGUAAAAGAUGGAAACAACCCAGAUGCCUGUCGGCUGGUGAGUGGGUAAACACCGUGCCGUCCUAUACGAUGGGCCAUUACUUGAUCAUAAAAGAAUGAAGGGAUGCGGAUGGAGCUUAGCAGAGUGUUUGCUGAGCACACACAAUGGAGGCGCAUGACUAUAACCUCAGUACUCAAGAGGCAAAGGCAGAAGGAUCACCUCCUCAGCUACAUAGUAAGUUCAAAGUUAGCCUGGGCUAAGAAGAGACCCUGAGGUCCUGGUGCAGACCACAAGGGUGAAUCUUCAAAGCAUUAUAUAUGUGAAAGAAACCAGAGUUUUAAAAACACUACAUAUUGCAUGAUUUCCAUUCAUAUGAAAUGUCUAAAAUAGGCCCACCCAUGGAAACACAAAAUGGGUUAGUGGUUGUCAGGGGCUGGAGUUUGUCUUAAUGGCUUUUGAGAAAGGAGUCUGCACUUCCUCAGAAGGCCAUUCUAGUAUCAUACACACUGAGCAUGUUUGUUUUUGUAAGUCUGUAAUAAAGUAAAGACUUCCUUCA